CGGAUUUGAGAUCGAUGAAUUUAUUAUAUCUGAGAUAUUGUUAUUUGAUUUUGAGCAUGAGUAUGUUAUGUCAAUAUAUAUAUAUCAGAGAUUGAUGGCAUGAUUAUAUGGAUAUGACAUAUCUGAAUUGAUCAUAAUGCAAGACAGAAUUGAUUUGAUGAAAUCAAUACAUAAUGAUUAAAUGAAAAGAAAGAGAUAUAUGGUAUGGACUAGCCUUGUCAUGUGGAACAGUCUGUCAGGAGCUUAUGCCUGGGACAGCCCCCACUGGCUUACAGAUGGAUCAGCCGGCCAGGAGCUCAUGCUUGGGACAGCCCG
This 315-nucleotide long non-coding RNA is filed under the name Elaeis guineensis (African oil palm). RNAcentral describes it as "long non-coding RNA (EGUI_LNC001156)". Lineage: Eukaryota; Viridiplantae; Streptophyta; Magnoliopsida; Arecales; Arecaceae. The record is from RNAcentral.